UCGAGAAUCUUUGGCAAUGGACGAAAGUCUGACCAAGCGACGCCGCGUGCGGGAUGAAGGCCUUCGGGUUGUAAACCGCUGUCGUAGGGGAUCAAAUGUAUGAGGGUUCUCCCUUGUAUUUGAGAGAUCCUAGGAGGAAGGAGAGGCUAAGCUCGUGCCAGCAGCCGCGGUAAGACGAGCUCUCCAAACGUUAUUCGGUAUCACUGGGCUUAAAGAGUUCGUAGGCGGCUCAUUAGGUGGGGUGUGAAAGCCCUCGGCUCAACCGAGGAACUGCGCCCCAAACCAAUGGGCUUGAGGGGUAUAGGGGUAAGCGGAACAGAUGGUGGAGCGGUGAAAUGCAUUGAUAUCAUCUGGAACACCGGUGGCGAAAGCGGCUUACUGGAUACUUUCUGACGCUGAG
This 400-nucleotide ribosomal RNA is filed under the name uncultured bacterium. Its description in RNAcentral is "bacterial SSU rRNA". It matches the Rfam family "Bacterial small subunit ribosomal RNA", at positions 355 to 750 of the family's 1533-position model. The record is from RNAcentral.